Molecule: non-coding RNA, 220 nt
Organism: Cinara cedri
Lineage: Eukaryota; Metazoa; Arthropoda; Insecta; Hemiptera; Aphididae
Source: the annotation of a GenBank genome assembly
AAAUCUAAUAACACGCGUCGGACCCGUGACUUAUAUUCAUGUAUACGCACUCCGAGCCCAUCAAGCGAGCGUUUAAAAAAGCCCCGGAAAAACCGCUCAUAUUUGAAAAAGCGAAAUCGGUAGCGGAGUCUUAAAAGUAUCCGCCUCCAACGGCCAGCUAUUAUAACUAUAGCCGAAACUUUCUUACAUUGUACACAAAUGAUUGACACGUUAUAAUUCG